GAAUCAAGAAAAUCAAGAAAAAGCUUCUAACUUUCAUUCUUAAGCGGAGUAUUACCGUUUUUGAUUCA
RNAcentral lists this transfer RNA (68 nucleotides) under Tomicus yunnanensis. RNAcentral's name for it is "tRNA-Ser". The record is from RNAcentral. Lineage: Eukaryota; Metazoa; Arthropoda; Insecta; Coleoptera; Curculionidae.